GACGAACGCUGACGGCAGGCCUAACACAUGCAAGUCGAACGCGAAAGGGACUUCGGUCCUUAGUAGAGUGGCGCACGGGUGAGUAACGCGUGGGAACGUACCCUGGAGUGGGGAAUAACCAUUGGAAACGAUGGUUAAUACCGCAUAAUGUCUUCGGACCAAAGAUUUAUCGCUCUUGGAUCGGCCCGCGUUAGAUUAGUUUGGUGGUGGGGUAAUGGCCUACCAAGACUACGAUCUAUAGCUGGUUUGAGAGGACGACCAGCCACACUGGGACUGAGACACGGCCCAGACUCCUACGGGAGGCAGCAGUGGGGAGUAUUGGACAAUGGGCGCAAGCCUGAUCCAGCCAUUCCGCGUGAGUGAUGAAGGCCUUAGGGUUGUAAAGCUCUUUCAACGGUGAAGAUGAUGACGGUAACCGUAGAAGAAGCCCCGGCUAACUUCGUGCCAGCCGCCGCCGUAA
Molecule: ribosomal RNA, 460 nt
Filed under: uncultured bacterium
Lineage: Bacteria
Description: partial 16S ribosomal RNA
Rfam family: Bacterial small subunit ribosomal RNA
Source: RNAcentral